Molecule: ribosomal RNA, 253 nt
Filed under: uncultured bacterium
Lineage: Bacteria
Description: partial 16S ribosomal RNA
Rfam family: Bacterial small subunit ribosomal RNA
Source: RNAcentral
UACGGAGGGUGCAAGCGUUGCUCGGAAUCAUUGGGCGUAAAGCGCGUGUAGGCGGCCAACUAAGUCUGAUGUGAAAUCCCAGGGCUCAACCCUGGAACUGCAUCGGAUACUGGAUGGCUAGAGGAUGAGAGAGGAUGGUGGAAUUCCUGGUGUAGGGGUGAAAUCCGUAGAUAUCAGGAGGAACAUCAGUGGCGAAGGCGGUUCUCUGGGACGGUACUGACGCUGAGACGCGAAAGCGUGGGGAGCGAACAGG